RNAcentral lists this transfer RNA (73 nucleotides) under Nannocystis exedens. It matches the Rfam family "tRNA". Rfam says of the family: Transfer RNA (tRNA) molecules are approximately 80 nucleotides in length. Their secondary structure includes four short double-helical elements and three loops (D, anti-codon, and T loops). The record is from Rfam by way of RNAcentral. RNAcentral also lists the same sequence under 5 other names. Lineage: Bacteria; Pseudomonadati; Myxococcota; Nannocystales; Nannocystaceae.
GCCCAGAAAGCUAACCGGGUGGAAGCACUCCGCUGAAGACGGAGAGGGGUUGGUUCGAGUCCAACUCUGGGCA